ACGGAGGGUGCAAGCGUUGUUCGGAAUUACUGGGCGUAAAGCGCGUGUAGGCGGUCGCUUAAGUCUGAUGUGAAAGCCCGGGGCUCACCCCCGGAAGAGCAUUGGAAACUGGGCGACUAGAGUGUCGGAGAGGAGGGUGGAAUUCCUGGUGUAGCGGUGAAAUGCGUAGAUAUCAGGAGGAACACCGGUGGCGAAGGCGGCCCUCUGGACGAAGACUGACGCUGAGACGCGAAAGCGUGGGGAGCAAACAGGAUUAGAUACCCUGGUAGUCCACGCUGUAAACGAUGGGCACUAGGUGUUCGGGGUAUUGACCCCCCGAGUGCCGCAGCUAACGCAUUAAGUGCCCCGCCUGGGGACUACGGCCGCAAGGUUA
RNAcentral lists this ribosomal RNA (373 nucleotides) under uncultured bacterium. Its description in RNAcentral is "bacterial SSU rRNA". It matches the Rfam family "Bacterial small subunit ribosomal RNA", at positions 525 to 896 of the family's 1533-position model. The record is from RNAcentral.